RNAcentral lists this ribosomal RNA (441 nucleotides) under uncultured bacterium. RNAcentral describes it as "partial 16S ribosomal RNA". It matches the Rfam family "Bacterial small subunit ribosomal RNA", at positions 338 to 795 of the family's 1533-position model. The record is from RNAcentral.
CCUACGGGAGGCAGCAGUGGGGAAUAUUGCACAAUGGGGGAAACCCUGAUGCAGCGACGCCGCGUGAGUGAAGAAGCGCCUCGGCGCGUAAAGCUCUAUCAGCGGGGAAGAAGGAAGACGGUACCCGACUAAGAAGCCCCGGCUAACUACGUGCCAGCAGCCGCGGUAAUACGUAGGGGGCGAGCGUUAUCCGGAUUUACUGGGUGUAAAGGGAGCGUAGACGGCGUCGCAAGUCUGAAGUGAAAGCCCGUGGCUCAACCGCGGAACCGCUUUGGAAACUGUGAGGCUGGAGUGCUGGAGAGGUAAGCGGAAUUCCUGGUGUAGCGGUGAAAUGCGUAGAUAUCAGGAGGAACACCGGUGGCGAAGGCGGCUUACUGGACAGUGACUGACGUUGAGGCUCGAAAGCGUGGGGAGCGAACAGGAUUAGAUACCCCAGUAGUC